RNAcentral lists this ribosomal RNA (569 nucleotides) under Chryseolinea soli. RNAcentral's name for it is "bacterial SSU rRNA". It matches the Rfam family "Bacterial small subunit ribosomal RNA", at positions 348 to 918 of the family's 1533-position model. The record is from RNAcentral. Lineage: Bacteria; Pseudomonadati; Bacteroidota; Cytophagia; Cytophagales; Fulvivirgaceae.
GCAGCAGUAGGGAAUAUUGGUCAAUGGAUGGAAGUCUGAACCAGCCAUGCCGCGUGCAGGAAGAAGGCCUUCUGGGUUGUAAACUGCUUUUGCCAGGGGCUAAAAGGCCCAUGCGUGGGAAAUUGAAAGUACCUGGUGAAUAAGCCACGGCUAACUACGUGCCAGCAGCCGCGGUAAUACGUAGGUGGCAAGCGUUGUCCGGAUUUAUUGGGUUUAAAGGGUGCGUAGGCGGCUUAUUAAGUCAGUGGUGAAAUAUCGCAGCUUAACUGUGAGGGUGCCAUUGAUACUGAUGAGCUUGAGUACAGAUGAGGUAGGCGGAAUUGACGGUGUAGCGGUGAAAUGCAUAGAUAUCGUCAAGAACACCUAUAGCGAAGGCAGCUUACUAAGCUGUAACUGACGCUGAGGCACGAAAGUGUGGGGAUCAAACAGGAUUAGAUACCCUGGUAGUCCACACUGUAAACGUUGAUAACUCGCUGUUUGCGAUACACAGCAAGCGGCCAAGCGCAAGCGAUAAGUUAUCCACCUGGGGAGUACGCCGGCAACGGUGAAACUCAAAGAAAUUUGGACGG